AGAGAGAGAGAGGUGCGAUGGUGAAGGUGAUGUGGUUUGAACCACCGCACGAGCACCUGCCGCUACCGAACACCACCACCGGAGUUCCCUGCCGCCGCACGAACACCACCGGAGUUCCCAGUCGUUCACCGGAGCACCUCCAGCGUUCACCUAGAAUAUAAGCUUCAUGGCACUGCCAGUCAUGCCAAGUAUACACCUUUGAAGUGAUGAACGAUAACUACAACUACAUGCGCCGCUGAUUGAUGGUUCACCAGCAGUGAAUUCACGAUUGUUUCAACAACCACAGGUGCCAAAUAUUUUCUCAGGUAUCUUUCCGAAGAGGAUCACGUAUUACUGGGUUGUUCCAUACCAUCAGCGAUAUGGAGUAGGCUGGUAUUCCGUCUGCUUCAAUCAGUAGUGUUGGACAGAUUUUUGUUAUGUUUCUGUUAAUGAGAUUAUCCUUGACAAAGGCAAAGUUUUU
RNAcentral lists this long non-coding RNA (460 nucleotides) under Helianthus annuus (common sunflower). Lineage: Eukaryota; Viridiplantae; Streptophyta; Magnoliopsida; Asterales; Asteraceae. The record is from RNAcentral.